UUAAAAUAUUAAGGGCACACGAAGGAUGCCUAGGAAGUAAGAGCCGAUGAAGGACGUGGUAAGCUGCGAUAAGCUUGGUGGAGUUGCAAUCGAACUGUGAUGCCAAGAUUUCCGAAUGGAGAAAUCUGCUAAGAUGGAGUCUUAGCACGAAAGAGGGAACCGGGUGAACUGAAACAUCUAAGUAACCCGAGGAAAAGAAAGUAAAAACGAUCCCCUAAGUAGCGGCGAGCGAACGGGGGUGAGCCCAAACCGUAGAUGUGCCAAGGAUGCAGCCGUUGCAUCUACGGGGUAGCGGGAAGAUCGUCUGAAGAACUGCAAGGUAUUCGACAUUAUGAUACGCCGAACUGGAAAGGUCUGGAAAGGCCUGCCGUAGAGAGUGAAAGCCUCGUACAGGUAAACCGUAUCAAAUGUAUGAUCUCUCCCAAGUAGCACGGAACACGAGGAAUUCUGUGUGAAUCUGCGAGGACCAUAUCUCGUAAGGCUAAAUACUCUUACUUACCGAUAGCGCAUAGUACCGUGAGGGAAAGGUGAAAAGAACCCCGGGAGGGGAGUGAAAUAGAACCUGAAAUCGUGUGCUUACAAGCGGUCAGAGCCCUUUGGGGUGAUGGCGUGCCUUUUGGAGAAUGAUCCUGCGAGUUACGUUCAGUGGCAAGGUUAAGUUUAACGGAGCCGAAGGGAAACCGAGUCUGAAUAGGGCGACAUAGUCGCUGGGCGUAGACGCGAAACCUGGUGAUCUAAGCCUGUCCAGGGUGAAGCUGUGGUAAGACACAGUGGAGGCCCGAACUCACCGCCGUUGAAAAGUUGGGAGAUGAGGUAGGUUUAGGGGUGAAAAGCCAAUCGAACCAGGAGAUAGCUCGUUCUCUCCGAAAUGCAUUUAGGUGCAGCCUUGAGUGUUCAAUUAUGGGGGUAGAGCACUGAAUGACCUAGGGGGCAUACUGCUUACCGAAGUCAAUCAAACUCCGAAUACCAUAAUUCUAGAGCUCAGGAGUGAGACUAUGGGAAUUAACUUCCAUGGUCAAAAGGGAAACAACCCAGACCACCAGCUAAGGUCCCUAAUUAUAACUAAGUGGGAAAGGAGGUGGAGAUUCACAAACAACCAGGAGGUUGGCUUAGAAGCAGCCAUACCUUUAAAGAGUGCGUAAUAGCUCACUGGUCGAGAGUCUCUGCGCCGACAAUGUAACGGGGCUAAGUUAUAAACCGAAGCUGUGGAGUUGCGUAAGCGACUGGUAGGAGAGCGUUCUGUAGGCCGUUGAAGGAGAAUCGACAAGAGACUCUGGAGGUAUCAGAAGUGAGAAUGCAGGAAUAAGUAGCGAGAAUGGGGGCGAGAAUCCCCCACGCCGGAAGACCAAGGGUUCCAGGGUAAAGUUUGUCUCCCCUGGGUAAGCCGGGUCCUAAGCCGAGGCUAGAUUGCGUAGGCGAAUGGAAAACAGAUUAAUAUUUCUGUGCCACUGAUAUCAAGUGAUGGAGGGACGCAGGAGGUUAUGCACGCUGGCGAACGGAAGUGCCAGUUCAAGCAUGUAGCGUGGUCUAGUAGGAAAAUCCGCUAGACUAAACGUGAGGUGUGAUGAGGAGUCGUAAGAUGGAAGGUGCAAAUACCACACUGCCGAGAAAAGCUUCUAAGCGUUAUAAAGAUAUUAGUGCCCGUACCCCAAACCGACACAGGUGGUCAGGAUGAGAAAUCUAAGGCGGACAGGCUAACUCUCGUUAAGGAACUCUGCAAAAUAGCCCCGUAACUUCGGGAGAAGGGGUGCCUUUUAUGGUGAGCGUACACGCGACGCAAAGCUAUGAGAGGCCGCAGUGAAGAGUCUCAGGCGACUGUUUAACAAAAACACAGGUCUAUGCUAAGCUGUAAGGCGACGUAUAUGGGCUGACACCUGCCCAGUGCCGGAAGGUUAAGAGGAGGAGUGAGAGCUCCGAAUUGAAGCCCCGGUGAACGGCGGCCGUAACUAUAACGGUCCUAAGGUAGCGAAAUUCCUUGUCGGGUAAG
Molecule: ribosomal RNA, 1987 nt
Filed under: metagenome
Description: bacterial LSU rRNA
Rfam family: Bacterial large subunit ribosomal RNA
Source: RNAcentral